GGGUGGGUAGGUGGCCCUGGGACUGCGGGCGCUGAGUCCAGGCAUGGGAUGCUCUCAGCAGUUUUCCUGCACAAGGGGAUGGAGAUGUUCUAGAGGAGGGAGGAGACUUCCAAAAGUCCUGGGGAGAACACACUGGUAUCUGACGAGUCAAAGCAGGAAACAUUACCCAGAUGCCUCUUCUGUCCUGCCUUGUGUUGGAAGAGCCCCUUCUGGCCGUGCCCACCCCUUCUUCAUGGUGCUUUUGACACCGGCUCUGCCACACUGCUCUGGCUGA
RNAcentral lists this long non-coding RNA (274 nucleotides) under Numida meleagris (helmeted guineafowl). Its description in RNAcentral is "lncRNA (ENSNMEG00000005845.1)". Lineage: Eukaryota; Metazoa; Chordata; Aves; Galliformes; Numididae. The record is from RNAcentral.